RNAcentral lists this ribosomal RNA (271 nucleotides) under uncultured archaeon. RNAcentral's name for it is "partial 16S ribosomal RNA". It matches the Rfam family "Archaeal small subunit ribosomal RNA", at positions 477 to 747 of the family's 1478-position model. The record is from RNAcentral.
CAGCGCCUCAAGUGGGAGCCGUUUUUAUUGGGCCUAAAGCGUCCGUAGCAGGUUGAGUAAAUCUCUUGUGAAAUUGUCCAGCUUAACUGGGCAGCGUGCAGGAGACACUUCUCGACUAGAAACCGGGAGGAGUGAGAGGUAUUUUGGGGGGAGCGGUAAAAUGCUAUAAUCCCCGAAGGACCACCGAUGGCGAAGGCAUCUCACCAGAACGGAUUUGACUGUGAGGGACGAAAGCCAGGGGAGCGAACCGGAUUAGAUACCCGAGUAGUCC